CAGUAGCCGCGGGAAUACCGAGGAUGCAAGCGUUAUCCGGAAUGAUUGGGCGUAAAGCGUCUGUAGGUGGCUUUUCAAGUCCGCCGUCAAAUCCCAGGGCUCAACCCUGGACAGGCGGUGGAAACUACCAAGCUGGAGUACGGUAGGGGCAGAGGGAAUUUCCAGUGGAGCGGUGAAAUGCGUUGAGAUCGAAAAGAACACCAACAGCGAAAGCACUCUGCUGGGACGACACUGACACUAAGAGACGAAAGCUAGGGGAGCAAAUGGGAUUAGAUACCCGUGUAGUCCCUGUCUCUUAUAA
RNAcentral lists this ribosomal RNA (301 nucleotides) under uncultured bacterium. Its description in RNAcentral is "partial 16S ribosomal RNA". It matches the Rfam family "Bacterial small subunit ribosomal RNA", at positions 509 to 809 of the family's 1533-position model. The record is from RNAcentral.